RNAcentral lists this ribosomal RNA (2904 nucleotides) under Escherichia coli. RNAcentral's name for it is "23S ribosomal RNA". It matches the Rfam family "Bacterial large subunit ribosomal RNA". Lineage: Bacteria; Pseudomonadati; Pseudomonadota; Gammaproteobacteria; Enterobacterales; Enterobacteriaceae. The record is from RNAcentral.
GGUUAAGCGACUAAGCGUACACGGUGGAUGCCCUGGCAGUCAGAGGCGAUGAAGGACGUGCUAAUCUGCGAUAAGCGUCGGUAAGGUGAUAUGAACCGUUAUAACCGGCGAUUUCCGAAUGGGGAAACCCAGUGUGAUUCGUCACACUAUCAUUAACUGAAUCCAUAGGUUAAUGAGGCGAACCGGGGGAACUGAAACAUCUAAGUACCCCGAGGAAAAGAAAUCAACCGAGAUUCCCCCAGUAGCGGCGAGCGAACGGGGAGCAGCCCAGAGCCUGAAUCAGUGUGUGUGUUAGUGGAAGCGUCUGGAAAGGCGCGCGAUACAGGGUGACAGCCCCGUACACAAAAAUGCACAUACUGUGAGCUCGAUGAGUAGGGCGGGACACGUGGUAUCCUGUCUGAAUAUGGGGGGACCAUCCUCCAAGGCUAAAUACUCCUGACUGACCGAUAGUGAACCAGUACCGUGAGGGAAAGGCGAAAAGAACCCCGGCGAGGGGAGUGAAAAAGAACCUGAAACCGUGUACGUACAAGCAGUGGGAGCACGCUUAGGCGUGUGACUGCGUACCUUUUGUAUAAUGGGUCAGCGACUUAUAUUCUGUAGCAAGGUUAACCGAAUAGGGGAGCCGAAGGGAAACCGAGUCUUAACUGGGCGUUAAGUUGCAGGGUAUAGACCCGAAACCCGGUGAUCUAGCCAUGGGCAGGUUGAAGGUUGGGUAACACUAACUGGAGGACCGAACCGACUAAUGUUGAAAAAUUAGCGGAUGACUUGUGGCUGGGGGUGAAAGGCCAAUCAAACCGGGAGAUAGCUGGUUCUCCCCGAAAGCUAUUUAGGUAGCGCCUCGUGAAUUCAUCUCCGGGGGUAGAGCACUGUUUCGGCAAGGGGGUCAUCCCGACUUACCAACCCGAUGCAAACUGCGAAUACCGGAGAAUGUUAUCACGGGAGACACACGGCGGGUGCUAACGUCCGUCGUGAAGAGGGAAACAACCCAGACCGCCAGCUAAGGUCCCAAAGUCAUGGUUAAGUGGGAAACGAUGUGGGAAGGCCCAGACAGCCAGGAUGUUGGCUUAGAAGCAGCCAUCAUUUAAAGAAAGCGUAAUAGCUCACUGGUCGAGUCGGCCUGCGCGGAAGAUGUAACGGGGCUAAACCAUGCACCGAAGCUGCGGCAGCGACGCUUAUGCGUUGUUGGGUAGGGGAGCGUUCUGUAAGCCUGUGAAGGUGUGCUGUGAGGCAUGCUGGAGGUAUCAGAAGUGCGAAUGCUGACAUAAGUAACGAUAAAGCGGGUGAAAAGCCCGCUCGCCGGAAGACCAAGGGUUCCUGUCCAACGUUAAUCGGGGCAGGGUGAGUCGACCCCUAAGGCGAGGCCGAAAGGCGUAGUCGAUGGGAAACAGGUUAAUAUUCCUGUACUUGGUGUUACUGCGAAGGGGGGACGGAGAAGGCUAUGUUGGCCGGGCGACGGUUGUCCCGGUUUAAGCGUGUAGGCUGGUUUUCCAGGCAAAUCCGGAAAAUCAAGGCUGAGGCGUGAUGACGAGGCACUACGGUGCUGAAGCAACAAAUGCCCUGCUUCCAGGAAAAGCCUCUAAGCAUCAGGUAACAUCAAAUCGUACCCCAAACCGACACAGGUGGUCAGGUAGAGAAUACCAAGGCGCUUGAGAGAACUCGGGUGAAGGAACUAGGCAAAAUGGUGCCGUAACUUCGGGAGAAGGCACGCUGAUAUGUAGGUGAAGUCCCUCGCGGAUGGAGCUGAAAUCAGUCGAAGAUACCAGCUGGCUGCAACUGUUUAUUAAAAACACAGCACUGUGCAAACACGAAAGUGGACGUAUACGGUGUGACGCCUGCCCGGUGCCGGAAGGUUAAUUGAUGGGGUCAGCGCAAGCGAAGCUCUUGAUCGAAGCCCCGGUAAACGGCGGCCGUAACUAUAACGGUCCUAAGGUAGCGAAAUUCCUUGUCGGGUAAGUUCCGACCUGCACGAAUGGCGUAAUGAUGGCCAGGCUGUCUCCACCCGAGACUCAGUGAAAUUGAACUCGCUGUGAAGAUGCAGUGUACCCGCGGCAAGACGGAAAGACCCCGUGAACCUUUACUAUAGCUUGACACUGAACAUUGAGCCUUGAUGUGUAGGAUAGGUGGGAGGCUUAGAAGUGUGGACGCCAGUCUGCAUGGAGCCGACCUUGAAAUACCACCCUUUAAUGUUUGAUGUUCUAACGUUGACCCGUAAUCCGGGUUGCGGACAGUGUCUGGUGGGUAGUUUGACUGGGGCGGUCUCCUCCUAAAGAGUAACGGAGGAGCACGAAGGUUGGCUAAUCCUGGUCGGACAUCAGGAGGUUAGUGCAAUGGCAUAAGCCAGCUUGACUGCGAGCGUGACGGCGCGAGCAGGUGCGAAAGCAGGUCAUAGUGAUCCGGUGGUUCUGAAUGGAAGGGCCAUCGCUCAACGGAUAAAAGGUACUCCGGGGAUAACAGGCUGAUACCGCCCAAGAGUUCAUAUCGACGGCGGUGUUUGGCACCUCGAUGUCGGCUCAUCACAUCCUGGGGCUGAAGUAGGUCCCAAGGGUAUGGCUGUUCGCCAUUUAAAGUGGUACGCGAGCUGGGUUUAGAACGUCGUGAGACAGUUCGGUCCCUAUCUGCCGUGGGCGCUGGAGAACUGAGGGGGGCUGCUCCUAGUACGAGAGGACCGGAGUGGACGCAUCACUGGUGUUCGGGUUGUCAUGCCAAUGGCACUGCCCGGUAGCUAAAUGCGGAAGAGAUAAGUGCUGAAAGCAUCUAAGCACGAAACUUGCCCCGAGAUGAGUUCUCCCUGACCCUUUAAGGGUCCUGAAGGAACGUUGAAGACGACGACGUUGAUAGGCCGGGUGUGUAAGCGCAGCGAUGCGUUGAGCUAACCGGUACUAAUGAACCGUGAGGCUUAACCUU